UGACACCACACAAAACAAGCAGUUACCAACAACCUAUAUCAUUAAACAAUAACGAAGUCUAAGGUCAAGCAUAGCAUACUUUGCCCUGCUCUCUUCGGAGUAAUUGGAACGAUGGGUAUUUUGCUACACAGAGGCUACGUCUAAGUCUCUCGAACAAGUUGUUACGAUUUCCAGUCAACGAA
Molecule: long non-coding RNA, 182 nt
Organism: Varroa destructor (honeybee mite)
Lineage: Eukaryota; Metazoa; Arthropoda; Arachnida; Mesostigmata; Varroidae
Source: RefSeq, a predicted model, not a curated record